GUGCGUGCGCGUGCCCGGUGCGUGCGUGCGGCUGCGGGAGCGCUCCUGGCGCUGCAGCUUUGACUCUCUGGGUCCUUCGUUCCCUCCGCGUCUCUUCCUCCGCAGGGAAGCCCGCGCCAGUCCCCGGUGUCACGUCAGGAUUUCCCAGGUGGCCGCGCGCCACUGUCAGAGGCCUCGGUGGGAGACGGCCAGGACAGGUUCCCUCCCCUUCACUAUAAGCCCUCACUGAUGCAAAUGACGGAGCCGCGCAGUAUUGCUCCUAAGUUACACGCGGUGCCUGCAGUCUCGGCGGCGGGGCCUCUGGGGAACCGUUUCCGUUUUCAAAACACUGUCCCGAGGAGGAGGCAGCCUUUCCCCAAGCGCAGGCCUCAAUUUCCUCAUCUGUAAAAGGAAGGAGGCUGGACUGGAUGAUCUCUUAAGAUCCUUUUAGCUCUGGGAUUCUUCAACUCUGUGGAUUUACUGAACUCCUAUUGUGCUGCCCAGGCUUGGGAUAGAUUGUGUGGGAGUAAACUGAUUUCAAGAACCUUGUUUGGGAGAUAAGAUUGACACAGAUGAAAAAACAACAAAAA
Sarcophilus harrisii (Tasmanian devil) is the source of this 569-nucleotide long non-coding RNA. RefSeq lists it as uncharacterized. The transcript is spliced from 2 exons. NCBI's taxonomy places the organism in Eukaryota, Metazoa, Chordata, Mammalia, Dasyuromorphia, Dasyuridae. The record is from RefSeq and is a predicted model, not a curated record.